This 357-nucleotide unclassified non-coding RNA is filed under the name Hevea brasiliensis (rubber tree). The record is from RNAcentral. Lineage: Eukaryota; Viridiplantae; Streptophyta; Magnoliopsida; Malpighiales; Euphorbiaceae.
UCCUCACCUGUUUUCCUGGUUCAUCUGCGACACCCACCAACGCAAGACAAAAUUAACAAAAUUAAUUACAACGAUAAAUACUAGUAAACUUAUAAAAAUCUUAUACAACAGUACAGAAGAAGAUAAAAGAGUAAACCAAAGUGUAAAAAAAGGAAAAAGGAAAAAUACAAAAGUACAAAACCAUGUAAUUUACAAUAUAUAUUGACCGAAAUCUCUAGCUCUUCAUAAUUCAACUAAAAAUCCAAUAUGAAAUAAGAUGAAAAUGAUUGCGAUAAUAAUUUAAGAGGACCAAAGAACAAGAGUCAUCCAGUGCAAGAAAUUCAACUGACGUACACGGAAAGUAGAGGUUAUUGGCAG